AUAAAAUUUUGAAUCAUCACCAAAAAGUAUACAGAUCUUAAGAUUAAUAUAACUAAGAAGUGUGUAAAAUUUUAAGCAAUAAUCAUAAAUCGUUUUUGAGAUACGGCGGGACAUGUGAAAAA
Mytilus californianus (California mussel) is the source of this 122-nucleotide long non-coding RNA. RefSeq lists it as uncharacterized. The transcript has 2 exons. The record is from RefSeq and is a predicted model, not a curated record. NCBI's taxonomy places the organism in Eukaryota, Metazoa, Mollusca, Bivalvia, Mytilida, Mytilidae.